This 866-nucleotide ribosomal RNA is filed under the name Amanita ovalispora. RNAcentral describes it as "eukaryotic LSU rRNA". It matches the Rfam family "Eukaryotic large subunit ribosomal RNA", at positions 91 to 921 of the family's 3401-position model. The record is from RNAcentral. Lineage: Eukaryota; Fungi; Basidiomycota; Agaricomycetes; Agaricales; Amanitaceae.
GAGUGAACCGGGAAAUGCUCAAAUUUGAAAUCUGCCAGCCUAUCUUUUUCUUUGGCUGUCCGACUUGUAAUCUAGAGAAGUGCUUACCCGCGCUGGACCAUGUAUAAGUCUCCUGGAAUGGAGCCUCAUAGAGGGUGAGAAUCCCGUCUUUGACAUGGACUUCCCAGUGCAUAGUGGUGUGCUCUCAAAGAGUCGAGUUGUUUGGGAAUGCAGCUCUAAAUGGGUGGUAAACUCCAUCUAAAGCUAAAUAUUGGCGAGAGACCGAUAGCGAACAAGUACCGUGAGGGAAAGAUGAAAAGCACUUUGGAAAGAGAGUUAAACAGUAUGUGAAAUUGUUGAAAGGGAAACACUUGAAGUCAGUCGUGUCUGCCAGGGAUCAUCCCAUCUCAUUUUGCUGGGUGAACUUCCUGGUCUGACCGGCCAACAUCAGUUUCGACUGUUGGAAAAGAGCGGAGGGAAUGUGGCACCUUUGGGUGUGUUAUAGCCUUCUGUCAUAUAUAGCAGUUGGGACUGAGGAAUUGCAGCGCGCCGCAAGGCAGAGUCUUUGACUACCUUCGCGCUUAUGAUGUUGGCGUUUAAUGGCUUUAAUUGACCCGUCUUGAAACACGGACCAAGGAGUCUAACAUGCCUGCGAGUAUUUGGGUCAUAAAAACCCUUGUGCACAAUGAAAGUGAAAGUUGACAUCCCUGUCGUGGGGAGCAUCGACGCCCGGACCUGAGCUUUUAGCGACGGAUCCGCGGUAGAGCAUGCAUGUUGGGACCCGAAAGAUGGUGAACUAUGCCUGAAUAGGGCAAAGCCAGAGGAAACUCUGGUGGAGGCUCGUAGCGAUUCUGACGUGCAAAUCGAUCGUCGAAUUUGGGUAUAGG